This 205-nucleotide ribosomal RNA is filed under the name uncultured bacterium. RNAcentral describes it as "partial 16S ribosomal RNA". It matches the Rfam family "Bacterial small subunit ribosomal RNA", at positions 1297 to 1500 of the family's 1533-position model. The record is from RNAcentral.
ACUGUAGGCUGCAACUCGCCUACACGAAGUCGGAAUCGCUAGUAAUUGCGGAUCAGCAUGCCGCGGUGAAUACGUUCCCGGGCCUUGUACACACCGCCCGUCACACCAUGGGAGUUUGUAACGCCCAAAGUCGGUGGCCUAACCUUUAUGGAGGGAGCCGCCUAAGGCGGGACAGAUGACUGGGGUGAAGUCGUAACAAGGUAAC